This 552-nucleotide ribosomal RNA is filed under the name uncultured bacterium. RNAcentral describes it as "partial 16S ribosomal RNA". It matches the Rfam family "Bacterial small subunit ribosomal RNA", at positions 355 to 900 of the family's 1533-position model. The record is from RNAcentral.
UGGGGAAUUUUGGACAAUGGGGGCAACCCUGAUCCAGCAAUGCCGCGUGUGUGAAGAAGGCCUUCGGGUUGUAAAGCACUUUUGUCCGGAAAGAAAACGCCGUGGUUAAUACCCGUGGCGGAUGACGGUACCGGAAGAAUAAGCACCGGCUAACUACGUGCCAGCAGCCGCGGUAAUACGUAGGGUGCAAGCGUUAAUCGGAAUUACUGGGCGUAAAGCGUGCGCAGGCGGUCCGCUAAGACAGAUGUGAAAUCCCCGGGCUUAACCUGGGAACUGCAUUUGUGACUGGCGGGCUAGAGUAUGGCAGAGGGGGGUAGAAUUCCACGUGUAGCAGUGAAAUGCGUAGAGAUGUGGAGGAAUACCGAUGGCGAAGGCAGCCCCCUGGGCCAAUACUGACGCUCAUGCACGAAAGCGUGGGGAGCAAACAGGAUUAGAUACCCUGGUAGUCCACGCCCUAAACGAUGUCAACUAGUUGUCGGGUCUUCAUUGACUUGGUAACGUAGCUAACGCGUGAAGUUGACCGCCUGGGGAGUACGGUCGCAAGAUUAAAAA